This 268-nucleotide ribosomal RNA is filed under the name uncultured bacterium. RNAcentral describes it as "partial 16S ribosomal RNA". It matches the Rfam family "Bacterial small subunit ribosomal RNA", at positions 355 to 615 of the family's 1533-position model. The record is from RNAcentral.
UGGGGAAUAUUGGACAAUGGGCGAAAGCCUGAUCCAGCCAUGCCGCGUGUGUGAAGAAGGUCUUCGGAUUGUAAAGCACUUUAAGUUGGGAGGAAGGGCAGUAAAUUAAUACUUUGCUGUUUUGACGUUACCGACAGAAUAAGCACCGGCUAACUCUGUGCCAGCAGCCGCGGUAAUACAGAGGGUGCAAGCGUUAAUCGGAAUUACUGGGCGUAAAGCGCGCGUAGGUGGUUCGUUAAGUUGGAUGUGAAAUCCCCGGGCUCAACCU